RNAcentral lists this transfer RNA (72 nucleotides) under Camelus bactrianus (Bactrian camel). It matches the Rfam family "tRNA". From Rfam's summary of the family: Transfer RNA (tRNA) molecules are approximately 80 nucleotides in length. Their secondary structure includes four short double-helical elements and three loops (D, anti-codon, and T loops). The record is from Rfam by way of RNAcentral. RNAcentral also lists the same sequence under 1 other name. Lineage: Eukaryota; Metazoa; Chordata; Mammalia; Artiodactyla; Camelidae.
GAGGGUAUAGCUCAGUGGUAGAGGACAUGCUUAACAAGUACAAGGUCCUGGGUUCAAUCCCCAGUACUUCCA